RNAcentral lists this ribosomal RNA (202 nucleotides) under uncultured Glomus. RNAcentral describes it as "partial 18S ribosomal RNA". It matches the Rfam family "Eukaryotic small subunit ribosomal RNA", at positions 569 to 766 of the family's 1831-position model. The record is from RNAcentral. Lineage: Eukaryota; Fungi; Glomeromycota; Glomeromycetes; Glomerales; Glomeraceae.
AGCAGCCGCGGUAAUUCCAGCUCCAAUAGCGUAUAUUAAUGUUGCUGCAGUUAAAAAGCUCGUAGUUGGAUUUCUGACUUGGUGCACCUGGCCCGCCACGGUUACGUGUGUGAGUGCCGGGAUGCGCCUGUCACUUUUCUAGUAAACUAUUAUGCUCUUCAUUGAGUGUGAUAGGUAGCUAGAUAUUUUACUUUGAAAAAAU